RNAcentral lists this ribosomal RNA (254 nucleotides) under uncultured bacterium. RNAcentral describes it as "partial 16S ribosomal RNA". It matches the Rfam family "Bacterial small subunit ribosomal RNA", at positions 524 to 776 of the family's 1533-position model. The record is from RNAcentral.
UACAGAGGUCUCAAGCGUUGUUCGGAUUCAUUGGGCGUAAAGGGUGCGUAGGCGGCGCGGUAAGUCGGGUGUGAAAUCUCGGAGCUUAACUCCGAAACUGCAUUCGAUACUGCCGUGCUUGAGGACUGGAGAGGAGACUGGAAUUUACGGUGUAGCGGUGAAAUGCGUAGAUAUCGGUAAGGAAGACCAGUGGCGAAGGCGGGUCUCUGGACAGUUCCUGACGCUGAGGCACAAAGGUCAGGGGAGCAAACGGG